UAGUCUGGUGCCAGCAGCCGCGGUAAUUCCAGCUCCAAUAGCGUAUAUUAAAGUUGUUGCAGUUAAAACGCUCGUAGUCGGAUUUCGGGGCAGGUUUGCCGGUCUGCCGAUGGGUAUGCACUGGUAGAACUGUCCUUCCUUCCGGAGACGGCGCCUACUCUUAACUGAGCGGGUGUCGGAGACGGAUCGUUUACUUUGAAAAAAUCAGAGUGUUUCAAGCAGGCAGCUCGCUUUUGCAUGGAUUAGCAUGGGAUAAUGAAAUAGGACUUUGGUGCUAUUUUGUUGGUUUCGAACACCGAAGUAAUGAUUAACAGGGACAGUCAGGGGCACUCGUAUUCCGCCGAGAGAGGUGAAAUUCUUAGACCAGCGGAAGACGAACCACUGCGAAAGCAUUUGCCAGGGAUGUUUUCACUGAUCAAGAACGAAAGUUAGGGGAUCGAAGACGAUCAGAUACCGUCGUAGUCUUAACCAUAAACCAUGCCGACUAGGGAUUGGAGGAUGUUCCUAUGUGACUCCUUCAGCACCUUUCGGGAAACUAAAGUCUUUGGGUUCCGGGGGGAGUAUGGUCGCAAGGCUGAAACUUAAAGGAAUUGACGGAAGGGCACCACCAGGAGUGGAGCCUGCGGCUUAAUUUGACUCAACACGGGGAAACUUACCAGGUCCAGACAUUGUGAGGAUUGACAGAUUGAGAGCUCUUUCUUGAUUCGAUGGGUGGUGGUGCAUGGCCGUUCU
Molecule: ribosomal RNA, 732 nt
Filed under: uncultured eukaryote
Lineage: Eukaryota
Description: SSU rRNA
Rfam family: Eukaryotic small subunit ribosomal RNA
Source: RNAcentral